This 506-nucleotide ribosomal RNA is filed under the name uncultured bacterium. RNAcentral describes it as "partial 16S ribosomal RNA". It matches the Rfam family "Bacterial small subunit ribosomal RNA", at positions 29 to 523 of the family's 1533-position model. The record is from RNAcentral.
AGUGAACGCUGGCGGUAGGCCUAACACAUGCAAGUCGAACGGCAGCACAGGAGAGCUUGCUCUCUGGGUGGCGAGUGGCGGACGGGUGGGGAAUACAUCGGAAUCUACUCUGUCGUGGGGGAUAAAGUAGGGAAACUUACGCUAAUACCGCAUACGACCUUCGGGUGAAAGCAGGGGACAUUCGAGCCUUGCGCGAUUGAAUGAGCCGAGGUGGGAUUAGCUAGUUGGCGGGGUAAAGGCCCACCAAGGCGACGAUCCGUAGCUGGUCUGAGAGGAUGAUCAGCCACACUGGAACUGAGACACGGGCCAGACUCCUACGGGAGGCAGCAGUGGGGAAUAUUGGACAAUGGGCGCAAGCCUGAUCCAGCCAUACCGCGUGGGUGAAGAAGGCCUUCGGGUUGUAAAGCCCUUUUGUUGGGAAAGAAAUCCAGCUGGCUAGUACCCGGUUGGGAUGACGGUACCCAAAGAAUAAGCACCGGCUAACUUCGUGCCAGCCGCCGCCGUAA